UACAGAGGUCCCAAGCGUUGUUCGGAUUCAUUGGGCGUAAAGGGUGCGUAGGCGGCGCGGUAAGUCGGGUGUGAAAACUCGGGGCUUAACCCCGGGCCUGCAGUGGGUACGGGCAGACUAGAGUGCGGUAGGGGAGACUGGAAUUCCUGGUGUAGCGGUGAAAUGCGCAGAUAUCAGGAGGAACACCGGUGGCGAAGGCGGGUCUCUGGGCCGUAACUGACGCUGAGGAGCGAAAGCGUGGGGAGCGAACAGG
RNAcentral lists this ribosomal RNA (253 nucleotides) under uncultured bacterium. Its description in RNAcentral is "partial 16S ribosomal RNA". It matches the Rfam family "Bacterial small subunit ribosomal RNA", at positions 524 to 776 of the family's 1533-position model. The record is from RNAcentral.